GACGAACGCUGGCGGCGUGCCUAAUACAUGCAAGUCGAGCGAAGUUUUUCUGGUGCUUGCCCUAGAAAAACUUAGCGGCGAACGGGUGAGUAACACGUAAAGAACCUGCCUCAUAGACUGGGACAACUAUUGGAAACGAUAGCUAAUACCGGAUAACAGUAUUUCUCGCAUGAGAGAUAUUUAAAAGUUGGUUAUGCUAACACUAUGAGAUGGCUUUGCGGUGCAUUAGCUAGUUGGUGGGGUAAAGGCCCACCAAGGCGACGAUGCAUAGCCGACCUGAGAGGGUGAUCGGCCACACUGGGACUGAGACACGGCCCAGACGCCUACGGGAGGCAGCAGUAGGGAAUCUUCCGCAAUGGGCGAAAGCCUGACGGAGCAACGCCGCGUGAGUGAAGAAGGAUUUCGGUUCGUAAAGCUCUGUUGUUAGGGAAGAAUGGAUAUGUAGUAACUAUACAUGUAAGAGACGGUACCUAACCAGAAAGCCACGGCUAACUACGUG
Molecule: ribosomal RNA, 499 nt
Filed under: uncultured bacterium
Lineage: Bacteria
Description: partial 16S ribosomal RNA
Rfam family: Bacterial small subunit ribosomal RNA
Source: RNAcentral